UCCUGACUGGCUCAGUGGGUAGAGCAUGUGAUUCUUGCUCUCAGAGUUGUGAGUUCAAGCCCCAUGUUGGGUG
This 73-nucleotide transfer RNA is filed under the name Mustela putorius furo (domestic ferret). It matches the Rfam family "tRNA". Rfam says of the family: Transfer RNA (tRNA) molecules are approximately 80 nucleotides in length. Their secondary structure includes four short double-helical elements and three loops (D, anti-codon, and T loops). Further hydrogen bonds mediate the characteristic L-shaped molecular structure. tRNAs have two regions of fundamental functional importance: the anti-codon, which is responsible for specific mRNA codon recognition, and the 3' end, to which the tRNAs corresponding amino acid is attached (by aminoacyl-tRNA synthetases). tRNAs cope with the degeneracy of the genetic code in two manners: having more than one tRNA (with a specific anti-codon) for a particular amino acid; and 'wobble' base-pairing, i.e. permitting non-standard base-pairing at the 3rd anti-codon position. Lineage: Eukaryota; Metazoa; Chordata; Mammalia; Carnivora; Mustelidae. The record is from Rfam by way of RNAcentral.